Manis javanica (Malayan pangolin) is the source of this 645-nucleotide long non-coding RNA. RefSeq lists it as uncharacterized. NCBI's taxonomy places the organism in Eukaryota, Metazoa, Chordata, Mammalia, Pholidota, Manidae. The record is from RefSeq and is a predicted model, not a curated record.
AAGUUUAUCCAGAGAUAAAGCGGUCUCGGGCAAGGACCCACCAUAACGAGUUGAGGGAAAAUGAUUUUUCCUUCUCUCAGUUUCUGGUGACCAGGGUAAGGCCUGCUAGGACACCCCACUCGCUUCAGAGCCUGUAGACACUGGCAGAGGGUGAGAAUACCUACCACGGGCUGCUGUCCCGAUCCCUACCUGCGGUGCCUGGACAGUAUUGUUUUGCUCUGAUGCUUUUGCAAAAGUGAAAUUCAUGGCAAGGACCCUACUACGUACUCUUGACGACUGAUACUGCCACCAGUUUACAAGAUGUCAAAACUUGGGUGCAUAUUUCACAACUGAAGAAGGCUCCACCUGACAUCUGGUUCUGUGCAAAACCUGGAGAUCUCAGAAUUAAAUUGAAUAGGAGGAGUAGGGUGCAACACUGAGGUAGGCUGCAUAGCACUGCCCAGCUAUUUCCCAGCCUUCUUCACAGGCUGAUGCAUGUAUGUGGUCAUGACCCAGCUGUGACCACACCACCAAAGACAAUAUCCUACAGAUGAUGGUGCAACAAGAUGAAAGAAGCAAGACCCCUAACUGACCUGAUGGUACUGAGCAGCCACACCAGUCAGGACCACUCAUCUCUGGUCUCUGCUGAGAAAUAAAUAAACUGUA